CCUAACACUGGAAGUAAGACAGCCUGCAGAGCUUUCAUGUUUCCUUCUCCUAAAUACUAAUCAGUCACAGCUGCAAGCCAUUAAAACCAAACACUGAGGGAGUGGCUGCACUAUGCUGACAUCCCUACACUGAUCCAAAUUUUGGGGAUUCUGCAGUUCUAAUGAGUUCACACCUCAUUUUCAUCUUCACCAUGAUGACAACUCUGAAUUUACAUCAUAAAAAAGGCAACCAUAUAGCUAGGCAAACUGAUGGUGAGGAGACUUGUUCAUGUGGAGAAGAAUGAAGAUACGCUAUUACUUUUGGAUAAAUCUGCACAGAGGAGUAUUUAACUUUAGAAGGGUCAUCCAGCUUACAGAGGAGACUCUCAUCUGUAGAUGCUGCAGCAGAGAGGGCUGUGAAUAUUGAAGCCCACAGUAACAGACUGCUGAAGCUGCCCUGACAGGCUGACUGUGUAUGGGGCAGUACAACUUCUGUGAGGGCUUCUUAUUUCAGGAGUUGCAGGAAGUACUCCAUACAUCUGCUUUUGAUAUCCUGUGAACUAGUGUUGCUGGAUACCCCCCCCCGAAUGUUGAUUCUUAACCAUGAUGUACUACACUGUGAUCUUGUCAGAAAUGCAAUGCAAUACUGCUCAAACCCAGAUACAUAAUACAUCCAGUUUCUGCAUGGCAUCAAGGAGCAGCCUUGUCUCUGAGUUUCUGUUCUUUGCUAUCCAUCCAUCACAAAUAGAACUGUGGAUGCACUGUGCUAGCCAGAAUGGGCUCUUCACACUCCAGAAGAUGAUUAAACUGAGCCUCAGUGCCUUUAAGCAGAACAUCAACUAUUGGCACAACAAGCUUCACAGACUGCUUGACUUUGGACAAUUUUUUUUUCAGGCACAUAAUGGUGGGGAUAAGGAUUCCCAUGAAACUUUUCAGCUUUGACUGCAGGAUGCCCAGAACCAUUACCACGGGCUGGAUUGCUUGAACAAACUCAGCAACAAAGGUAAUAUCUGCAGGCCUGAAGAUGGCAAUUCCAGUCCAUUCACAUAUCUCAUUCAGCAAGCCUUCACCCUGAGUUGCAAUGAUGUGAAUUCUCUCCAUCGAGUAGAAAGUGGAAUUCCAUCAUGUCACAUUAGGAAUAAUCAAUGCUAGAUCACACUUAUUUCAAGCCACCUCAGCAGCUUGGGUGCUACGACUAGCCUUGUUCCAAGCAGCAUAGCAUUUGGCCAUGGUGCUUCACAUGAUCUUUUUAUACUGUGCAUCAUUACAAGCAGAUUCAACAUCGUACAUGGCAAUUAGAUUCAAUGCAUGUGCUUCACAUCUCAGAUGGGAAAGCAGUGAAUAGGUGUUCUCGCUUUGCCUUGACAGACUCAGCAUGGCUGUCAUGGUGUUGUAAAUCACUUCACCAUCAUCAUCCUCAUUUUGGGACAGAAUGCCUGUAGUCUCAGAUCUCUCACAUUCUGAGAAGACAUUGAAAGCCUUUACAAAAUUGCUGCCAUGGUCAGUAAUUGUCGCACACAACUUUUGAUCUAUCUUGUACUUGAUGUGAAUGCUGUCAAGAGCUGAUGCUAUGAGAUUAUAUAUAUGCCUCUUCUGUGAUCUGCAGCAUGACAAAGCAGCUGACUUUCUUUGAAGUGUAUCACAGUUGAUCCAGUGGGUUGUGAUGCCAAAGAAACUACAAUUCUGAUGUGUCCAAAUAUCAGCCAUAGUGCAAACAGUUGAAAUGCUAAGGUUUCCAUCAGAUUCUCUUUUAUAUCAAUGAACUGUUUCUCCACUCAUUCAUUGUAUAGUCAUUGUGAAUAGCUAAAUAAAGUGAUAUUUUGGUUGCCUUUGUUAGACCUGUAUGACAUUUUCUGUAAGCAUUUUUGCAUCUUUUGCU
Molecule: long non-coding RNA, 1858 nt
Organism: Protopterus annectens (West African lungfish)
Lineage: Eukaryota; Metazoa; Chordata; Ceratodontiformes; Protopteridae
Exons: 5
Source: RefSeq, a predicted model, not a curated record